This 70-nucleotide transfer RNA is filed under the name Promethichthys prometheus. RNAcentral's name for it is "tRNA-Ile". Lineage: Eukaryota; Metazoa; Chordata; Actinopteri; Scombriformes; Gempylidae. The record is from RNAcentral.
GGAGCCGUGCCCGAAACCAAGGACCACUUUGAUAGAGUGAACUAUGGAGGUUAAAGUCCUCCCAGCUCCU